Molecule: long non-coding RNA, 871 nt
Filed under: Canis lupus familiaris (dog)
Lineage: Eukaryota; Metazoa; Chordata; Mammalia; Carnivora; Canidae
Description: lncRNA (ENSCAFG00845015844.1)
Source: RNAcentral
CUAACAUGUUCAAUAUAAAUAUCAAUGUAACUUAAUUUCAUAAAACUUAAUAUAAAUACAAAUCUUAUGGAAAAUACACAUACACAUUAUUUUUUCUCAUUGCAGUCAUCAGUGACACUUGCCGAAUUAUCAUCUCGGCACAACUGUAGCCUACUGACCAGGAAACUGAUGGCGUUGCUGCUUCCAAGUACAAGGGUUCUCAUCUCUCUACUAGCUUCGUCAAGGAGAUCUUAUACCCAAGCAUAAGAAAGGCCCAGGCGACACGAGGAAAAGCCAACUGGAAGCAAAUUAUCCAAACUAACCUACUGAAAUGGUGAGGAUUUCUUAUUUCAUCUUCUUCUAAGUUAACAGGAUUCAUAUAGACAUGUGAAUUAAAAACAGAACACCAUAGGUAUCCUUUGUUUGCAUGUGUAUCAGCCUCUGAAGGAAUAAUUAAUUUCCUUUUUUGGGAUACGUCUCUUGGAAGACAUGUCUUGGGAGAUAUGUCUUUUGGGAUAUGAGGUGGAGAUCUUUGAAAUUUAUUUUGUUGGUCAAGGAAUGAAGAAGCAGCAGACAACGCAUGGAUAUUCUAGUUAAUGAAGUGCAGUGUCUUUAAAUUCACUGGCUCCUUAUCUUUUUAUCAUCCACUUUAUUUUUUUUCCUCUUUACAUUAUUUCCCAAGGUAAUUUUUGUUUAAAUGUGGUGAGUAAACCCAAAAGUUACAAGAAAAUCUUUAAGUGUCAUAAAUUUUACAGGGAUACAAGGGAAACCCAUUUAUACAUCUCUCCCUUCUCUAUGCCUCUGAGAUAGAGUCAUAGCUAGAUAAUAAAUGAUAUAUCUGAUCGCAGUAAACAUUUGAAAAAUAACAUGCCACUAUCUAUUAGAUUUUAGC